Molecule: transfer RNA, 72 nt
Filed under: Amphiura sp. CZ-2022
Lineage: Eukaryota; Metazoa; Echinodermata; Ophiuroidea; Amphilepidida; Amphiuridae
Description: tRNA-Arg
Source: RNAcentral
AAGAAGUUAGUUUAAAUAAAACAAAUGAUUUCGACUCAUUAAUUCCUAAUUAUCCAUCCUAGGACUUCUUUA